Long non-coding RNA from Austrofundulus limnaeus, 1674 nucleotides. RefSeq lists it as uncharacterized. The transcript has 2 exons. The record is from RefSeq and is a predicted model, not a curated record. NCBI's taxonomy places the organism in Eukaryota, Metazoa, Chordata, Actinopteri, Cyprinodontiformes, Rivulidae.
CAGRUGUGUUAKAGCAGGGAUACCUCUAAAACGUGCAGGGCAGUGUGCCUUGAGGACCAGGGUUGAAAAACACUGUAGUAGACAAUAUCAAGCCUUUUUAGAAAUACCUAAAUCUCUGGAGUGUUUUAUAGUCAUGUAAAGAUGUUUUUAACAUGUUUCAGGUUGCAGGAGAGCAAAUAAAUUUGCCAAAUGAAUAGUUCCAAACCAUGUCUUUUCAUGUUACAUAACAUUUCAGAUGCAUAAACCAGCAGCAGGGCUUUGGCAGGAGCCGCUCUCUGAGCCUGCCUCAGCGGCUCAACUCGGCGCCGUCUCCUGGACUUUUAUCACCUGUCAGUACACCUGGAAUGCGGCCAUCUUUUUUGCCUAUGCAGAGGCAAACAUCCGUUCAGAACAAAGCCCACAAGCCGUUAUCGCCGUGGGAGGCAGCGUCAAGAAGCCCCCUCGGCUCCGUGGAUGAAGCCUUCGUGUUCCUCAACCCCCCGGCUUCUAGUUUUGUCACUGCAGGACACCAAACAACUCUGCCAGAGCCUCCAGACGACUGGAAGCGCAGGGUGUCUCUCGACCCGCCAGCUGGGACUAGGGGUCAUUAUCACCACUUGGCCCCAACGUUUCAGGCAAYGUCCACAAGCAGGAUGUUUUCUCCUGAGAAACCAGCUUUUUCAGGGCCUCCAUUUAAACCUGCUCAGCCUUUUAAACCUGCCAGUGCUGCAUUCAAAGGCACAAAGUUCAUUUAGUUUUUCCUCACCUGUAAAAUGCAGCUCAGACUUUAAGAAGACAUUAGUAUAUAUCAGAUCUAGAGACACAUUUUAUCAACAUGCAUGUAGUUUAUGGUGCUGAGAUUGAAGCAAAGUUUAUUUGACUGGUCAAAGCAAAGAUAAACGAURGAACAAAUCCUCAUGUUUUAAAUAGUUUGUGAUGCCUCAACACAAUMUGAUGUAAAGAAAACAACUUAUUGUAUGGCUUCAAGGAAAACAAAUGCAAAAAUGCUUGUGAAAGUUUUUGAUAAACAGAAAAGAACAAUGGGAAAAGUGAUUUCUUAGUUGGGUUCAAAUGGUGAAAAAGAAAGAUAGUUGUCUCAUAAAUCUUUUGGUUUUACAAAGACAUUUUGCACAACACAGAUUUUUAACAUAAAAUUUUUUUUUCAUAUUAUUCACCCUUUUGAACAGUCCUUUUCAAUAGUUUUUAAAAACGAUUUCAAAGUAAAAUUCCCAUAUUGAUUUAUUUGAUAUUAUUAAUGCAAGCUCCUUCGCUGUGACUCCUAACUUGCUAUGGAGAGAGUGCUGAAAACUCAUUGUUGCAGUUUGUUAUCUAAUAUCAGCCAACUUAAUUAUCUCUUGGACUUAUGUCUAUUUCCCUUCAGUUUAUCUGUGGUGCCUCACAUUGUUACAGACAAUUGAAGUUGCAAGUUGAUAAAGUUGUAAUUCUAACUACUAAACCACAUGUGAGAUUUCUGCAUGAACACAAACUUACUCAAAUGAUUGUACUGUACUGUAGAGUAGAAGGAAUGAUUGUUACAUUGUUGCAUACAUUGAUGCACUAUUGUGUGAUGUUUACCUGCUUCACACAACAUUUUUUAGAGUUUUUGUGUUAGGAUGUUUUAACACUGGGAUUUAACCCUGUGCAGAUUUUUGUUUAGAUGGUUUUCAGCACAAAAUAAAGUUUAAAUUACUUUUA